This 401-nucleotide ribosomal RNA is filed under the name uncultured Campylobacterota bacterium. Its description in RNAcentral is "bacterial SSU rRNA". It matches the Rfam family "Bacterial small subunit ribosomal RNA", at positions 994 to 1391 of the family's 1533-position model. The record is from RNAcentral. Lineage: Bacteria; Pseudomonadati; Campylobacterota.
AACUUACUAGAGAUAGUUUGGUGCUAGCUUGCUAGAACUUUCAUACAGGUGCCGCACGGCUGUCGUCAGCUCGUGUCGUGAGAUGUUGGGUUAAGUCCCGCAACGAGCGCAACCCUCGUGUUUAGUUACUAACAGUUCGGCUGAGGACUCUAGACAGACUGCCUGGGUAACCAGGAGGAAGGUGAGGACGACGUCAAGUCAUCAUGGCCCUUACGGCCAGGGCUACACACGUGCUACAAUGGGGUAUACAAAGAGCCGCAAUACCGCGAGGUGGAGCAAAUCUCAUAAAAUAUCUCCCAGUUCGGAUUGAAGUCUGCAACUCGACUUCAUGAAGUUGGAAUCGCUAGUAAUCGUGAAUCAGCAAUGUCACGGUGAAUACGUUCCCGGGUCUUGUACUCACC